GCCAGUUAGCAGGCGCUGAAAGGCCCUGGCUUCGUGGGUGUCUCUGAGCCAGGCUGGCGCUCGUGCGCGCUGGGCUCCGCGCUCAGUCGCUGGGGUGGGAGGCCAGGGGAAGCCGCCGCUGCAGGCCGAGCCGCGAGAUUUGCAGUGCAGGAGCCGAAGCGGCGGGCAUGGUGGGAGGUCCUUGGAAGCUGCUGCGGGGAACUGAAACGGCUCUGAUAGGCAGGCACAAAGACUUCUCUAGGACCCCCUACAAUGCUUUACGUUUGCCUCGUGCUUUAGAUUUCACAAAGUGCUUACACAUAACACGACCCUCCUCACUCGACCUGGUGAGAUGGGUAGCAUUUUGUGGAAGAUUCCGAGACUCAAGUUUGAGAGACUCACCCAAGGUCAGAGUUGGCGAGUGGGCGGUCCGUGGACAGGUGCGCAGGUCUCAGCGCCAUUUGGCCCGCGCUGCUGCUUCCUGUGUGUACUGGAUGUUCUCUAGGCUCGCCCAGCGUGGAAGCCCCGAGUUACCAGCCGCAACGUGGAAACCACAGAAGGGGAAAUAGAUGACUUUUGGUGAAGGCGAAUUUUACUUUAUCAUUUUGUAUUGUCAAACUUUUUUUUACUAUUAUGCUUUUGUAAUUUUAAAAAUCGAAGACGAGGUUAAAUAGAAGAAAGGGGACAGUUCCCUUCUAUUUAACUUCAUCCUCGAUUUUUAAAAUUUGAAGUUGUAAUCAAAACUAUUAGUAAACAGAGAGGAAUAGAUAUUAGAUUUAUUGCAAUAGAAAUAGUUUCAUAUUGCAGCUAUUGAGGACCAUAUGUCCCAGACAUAUGGUGUGGCACCUGCACUGUUCUUAUGGGGGCCGUAGAACAGAAAAUCUGUAAUGUCUAGGAAAUCUGGGCGAUGUGAUAAAUGUACAUGUUAUGGGGAUCCGGAGGAAGGGAGACAAACCUGAGGUAUCAUUUAUUAAUUAAACAGUACUUACUAAAUAGCUUUUUUGUGCCCGUUGUGGACUAGGUGCUUGAGAAAUGUAAAAUUCAUUCAUUCACACACACAAAGUUUGAAACAACUAUUCUAAGCACAAGGAACUUACUCAGUAUUUUGAGGAGACUGAACUAGUACAUGUUGAACACUUAAAUAACAAUAUAAAAUAGUAUUUAAAUGUCAAAAUGAAUGGAGUUAGCAGUAACUCUCUAGGACUAGAGAAAAAUGGAAUUUCCAAAGUGAAGUUCCUUUAUACAUAACUACCCUUCCGAAACUUAGAUGAACUUAGAGAUAAGACAGGAACAACAAAUAGGUAGAAGCAUUUUCAUUAUUCCAAGAUUGUUAUUCUUGCAAAUGAUGUAUUUGUACAUGUUUAAUAGAUGCUGUAUUGGAGGUAGUAUACCAUGAAUACAGGAUUUGCAGAAAGAGGGGCAUGGUAAUUAAUUAUUUCUUGAAUAAUUUUCGAAACAAGGCAAAAUCGGGGCCUCUUAAAUAUCCCGUUAAGGAAGAAGCUCCUCCUCUGCAAGUACCCAAGUCGGUAUCUCCAGUCCAACCUCACAAAAGUGUGCACAGCCAAAUCACAGACAGGAGGAAUAUUUCUUCCAUAAAUUAAAAAUAUACUAGAUCAAAAUGUUAAGUCCCUGGACAACUUAUUCCACCUCAUCAUAUUUACAAGAUUGAAAAAAAUAAGUUUGAGAUUGGACGAAAGAUGGUCAUAACUGGAAACAUUUUUAAAAUUAAUUUUUAUGCCCGUUGAGUAUGGUGGUGGGCACCUGCGGUCCUAGCUACUCAGGAGGCUGAGGUGGGAGGAUGGCUUGAGCCCACAAGUUUGAGGCUACAGUGAGCUGUGAUUGUGCCACUGCACUCUAGCCUUGGUGACAGAGUGAAACUUUGUCUCUUAAAAAAAAACUUAUGCCUAUUGAAAUAAAUAAUAAUGAAUUAUACAACAUACACUUUUCAAAAUAUACACAUGUAUUGGUGUAUGUGUAUUAAUUUUUAUUCUUAAUUUAUAUUUUAAAUUUAUAUUGUUAAUUAGCCUACAGACCCCCGGAGAGACCUUGGGAGAAUGUGCUUUAUGGAUCUCUAUUUUGAGUAAAGUUUAGAGUUUGUUUUUCCUUAAAGCUUGAUUUAUUCAAAAUAAUGUCUAGGCUGGGUCCUAGAUUUAGAUGGCUUAAAAUGCACAGGUUAAUUAUCCAAUAAAUUUGUUCAGUAUGGAGCUGGUCAAAUGCAAAGUAUAUGUUGGAAUUGUUCUAAAACUGGAUUGUGGUAAUGGGUGCACAAUUGAUUAAAUUUACUAGACUCUUUGAAUUGUACACUUUAAAUAGGUGAAUUCUAUGACAUCUAAAUUAUACCUUAAUAAGGCUGUUUUAAAAACUAAGCAAUGCCAAAAUACCUAUCUGCUGCAUUGAAAGUAAUAACUAAAAUUGGUCAUCUAGAUAUGUUGACAUCCUUAAGGAAACAUCCUAAUGGGUGAAGAAAUAAAGUGGUAGUAGAAACCCUUCGGUUACAGAAGCAGACUGGUUCUUUGACCUGUGAAAUAUUGAAUAAAAUCCAGGGUAGGCCAGACAAGGUGGCUCAUGCCUGUAAUCCCAGCAGUUUGGGAGGCUGAGGUGGGUGGAUCACUUGAAUCCAGGAGUUUGGGACCAGCCUGGGCAACAUGGUGAAACUCCAUCUAUACAAAAAAUAAAAAAAUUAUCCAGGCUUGGUGGAGCAUGCCUGUGGUCCCAGCUACUUGGGAGGCUGAGUUGGGAGGAUCACCUGAGCCCAAGGAGGUCGAGGCUUCUGUGAGCCAUGAUUGAACCACUGUGCUUCUGCCUGGAUGACAGAGUGAGCCCCUGUCUCAAAAAUAAAAUAUAAUUCUGGGGUAGCACAGACACUCAUUUUAUUUUUAUUUAUUUUUCUUUUCUUUUUUGAGAUAGUGUCGUGCUUUGUCACCCAGACUGGAGUACGGUGGUGUAAUCAUAGCUCACUCUAGCCUCAACCUUUCAAGCUCAAGCAAUCCUCCCACCUCAGCCUCUGGAGUAGCUGGGACCACAGGUUAUCCAGAUCUCUUUGAAUCUUGUUCCUGUCAACUGACUUAUUAGUGCCAUCUCCUAAUUCUGUGUCAACUUGACAAGCCUGCUGUCUUUCCCUUCAUCCAAGUUGCCAAUAAAAAUGCUCAACAAGGCAGAGUGCUUUAGCAAGACCUGGAGAGAUCUCCUACAGGUUUAUCUUUUAAAAACCGUAUACCUGUUUUACAAGGAUCUCACAAAGAUUAACAAUAUGUAUGCUAUGAAGGAUCCCAUCUGCCUCAGAGAAGAUACGCUUUUCAUCACAGACUGUAUACUUUUUACAGUUCUUAUCUAUUUAUUCUACUGCAAAAACUGCCGAUUCUACAGAGCCUAUUAAUUCCACUGGGAAAACAUGUACGGAAUGUGCUCAUGAGUAUGGGACUUCCUGUAAUUGUUGGAAAGAAGAAAAAGGCUGAUAGAAAAAACAUUUUGGCCUGGCACUCAGGAGAAAACUUCUGCUGAGGAAUGAACAGGGAAAAACAAUGAUGGACCACCUCAAGGAACAAAUCGGAUAGCUUCGACUUCCCCUCUGGAAGCCCUGCUGCGCUGGGAUGCACCUAUCCCUACUUCUUAGAUGUUCCCAUAUGUUCUCAACAGCAUUCUGUCCCUCCUAAGCAGUGUCACUAAAGCUAGCUGGUCUCUUAGGAUUGUUACCUUUAUUGAUGAUUUUCCCUUUGUGCUUCCUGGUGUCUGGCACCAAGACCACACCCCUACUUCUCCAAUGGCCCUUUCCCUCAGUAAGCUUAGCUUAUUGCUCACCUCCCACCUUCUCCCUGAACCCCAGCAGAAAGACAUGGACCUGUCAGAUGCUCCCGAUAUUUAAGUGUCUAUGCCAAAAUCUCAUGUGGACCUUGUUUGUUCAAAUGAGUUACUAUUGAGAGAGACAGCAAAGUCAUCUUCUUUAGGGAACCUGAAAAUUGUCUUCAGUCUGAAAAUUGUCUUCAGAAGGAGCAAAAGAUAGGUGAGAGGGAGAGGAUAAGAGGAGAGCCAUGUAUUCUCCUGACCAUGAGCUCGCGGUAGAUAAACCCCUGGUUACCUGAAGGCAGCACCGUGAGCACCAUCCGCUGUGACUCAUCGGAUGCUUGAUUAAUCCACUUGCUUGGGUGUCCAUGGAGCUGCCACUCUGCCACCCUACACCAGUACAUUCCUGCAUCCUCCAUCUCCACCUGAUGAAGCUUCAGGACAAAGUCUGUAGAGGAUGAACGGUAACAGUGCAGGUGCCUCCUGAGCCCCUCUUCCCCAUACUCCAGCAAGCCAUCAUGUUGCAAGUGCACCAGCAAUUUACUUCCAGAGUUUUCUCUGUUCCAGUACCACAUCACAGAGUACAGAGUGGCUGAGCUGCCUACACUCUCCAGGCUGCAGCGGAUGGCCACUUCUCUGUGCUCAGUCACAUUUUCGGUCCAGUACACUUUGGAGACACGUACCUUACUUCCUAGAAAAUAAAAUGGCAGUAAAUUAGAGAAUGCAGACUUUCAGAUUUGGAUACCACCUCUGAAAAAUCUAGUUCUCACUGGGAAGAUCUUAUAUUCUUUAGACAUCAGUGCAUUCAUUUUAUUUUUUUUAUUAUUUUUAUUUUUUGAGACAGAGUCUUGCUCUGUCACCCAGGCCAGAGUGCAGUGGCAUGAUCUCAGCUCACUGCAACCACUGCCUCCUGGGUUCAAGCAAUUCUCCUGCCUCAGCCUCCCAAGUGGCUGGGAUUACAGGCGUGUGCCACCAUGCCCAGCUGAUUUUUGUAUUUUUAGUAGAGACGGGGUUUCACCAUGUUGGCCAGAUUGCUCUUGAGCUCCUGGCUUCAAGUGAUCUGCCCACCUCAGCCUCCCAAAGUGUUGGGAUUACAGGCAUGAGCCACCACGUCCAGCCACAUUCAUUUUAAUUCUUGUCCUUGGUCCCUGUUUUUCUCUCACAUUUGCCAGGACAUUCUCUGCUAGGAAUCAAACCAGCCUCUUUCCUUCUUUAGCCCAACUGCUUGCCUGCUGGACCCUGCCAUUGAAAACUACACAGCUUCUGCAGGGCCCUCUGCCUGCUGCUUUUACUUACCCUUGAUUCACUCCUCCUCUACUUCCCAAAGUGGUCAUUCACAACUUUUAGCAGCUCCCUCAAGCCAUGUAUUCCACCAGUACCCCUCAUUCUUAGCAAAUUACUCUCCUCCCAUACACCCAGAUAUUAUCUUGGGUGUAAACGCAGAGAGAGAGGACGCCAUCCAAGAGACUGAACAUUUUGAUGCAAGUGUUAGAAGGCCAUCCAUGGGAGCUAUUUAGAUGAUUGGAUUAGACUGAGUUUUAAAGAGAUUUUGACAUUUACUUUUUUUCCCCUUGCUAACCAGCAGGUGAGGAUUUAGAAUAACAGCCAAAGUAGUUACAAACAAAAUAAAGAAAUUAUAGUGUGCAUUACAUUUUCAAUUCCACUACAAACACAUUUAUUUAUUUAUUUAUUUAUUUAUUUAUUUUUAUUUUAUUUAUUUUUUGAGACGGAGUCUCGCUCUGUCGCCCAGGCUAGAGUGCAGUGGCACAAUCUUGGCUCACCGCAACCUCUGCCUCCCGGGUUCAAGCGAUUAUCCUGCCUCAGCCUCCCGAGCAGUUGGGAUUACAGGCAUGGGCCACCAUGCCUGGCUAACUUUUUUAUUUUUAGUAGAGACAGGGUUUCACCAUGUUGGCCAGGCUGGUCUCGAACUCCUGACCUCAGGUGAUCCGCCCACCUUGGCCUCCCAAAGUGCUGGGAUUAUAGGCAUGAGCCACUGUGCCUGACUCAAACACAUUUAUUAAUCUGUCUUUAAGAGAAUAAUUCUGUCUGAUCUUGGACUCUUUCUUAGUUACCAUUUUUACUCUCCCCUUUCCUUCAUGGAGUAGCACGUGGAAUAUUAGCACAUGGAAUACUGUUGCUGUUUCCUUGUCUCAAAUUACUUCCUACUUUAUUGUGAUCUGGCUUCCAAUCCCAUCACUUUACUUGGCCAGGGCCCAAUUUCCCAGUUCAAGGGACCCUCUAGUCCUUUUCUGUCCUCUAUGUGGUUUUUGUUACUGGAGUCCAAUUUCUCCUUGAAAUUGACUUCUUUUCUUCCAACCUCAGAGAAAAUAUCCCCCUUACAACUCUGACCAGUCAUUCUCAGCAUCUUUCUGGGGCCUCUUGGUUAACUUGUUCCCUAAAUGACGUGCACAACCGGAAGUCCACAGCCACACCAAGCCCACAGGUAUGUUCUGCUUGACACUUGCAGUAUUUUAAGAGAACUGGGCUGGGCGCAGUGGCUCACGCCUGUAAUCCCAGCACUUUGGGAGGCCAAGGCAGGUGGAUCACCUGAGGUCAGGAGUUCAAGACCAGCCUGAGCAACAUGGUAAAACCCUGUCUCUACUAAAAUUACAAAAAUUAGCCAGGCAUGGUGGCACACACCUGUAGUCCCAGCUACUCUGGAGGCUGAGGCAGGAGAAUUGCUUGAACCCAGGAGGAGGAGGUUGCAGUGAGCUAAGAUCAUACCACUGACUCCAGCCUGAGCAACAGAGCAAGACUCCGUCUAAAAAAAAAGAAAAAGAAGAAGUGAAUUAGUUGUGGACAUUCUCAAACUGGGAGAUGUCACCAAAAAAGAUUUUAGGCAUCUCUAGAUAUGCAAAAAGAUCUGACAACACGGAGCCCACAUUUCUACAUGGGAAGCACUUGAGCUAAGCAGUGGCUGCCUCCUGAAGACGGCCAUGCACAUGUGGUCAAGAGUUUGGUGUGGAUGACUGGGAGACAGAAUGCCAAUCACACAGAUGGGAAAUGCAGAAGUGCAAAUGAGCAUGGUGAGAUGGCAGAGAUGCUAAGUGCAAUUUAGGGCAUGCUGAGUAUGGGGGCAUCCAAGUAGAAAUGUACAGCAGGCAGUUGGGUAUGAAGGCUUGGAGCUCAGGAGAUCAGGGCUAAGCACAAAAUCUCAGAGUUAUCAUCUAGAAGGUGGUAGUUGAAACCAGGGCAGUGUUUAAGAAAUUCUGAGGAAAGCAGAGAAUAAGAAGCAAAACAGGCCCAGGAUCUAUCCCUGAGGAACACACACAUUUAGCAGGGAGAAGAAGGGGCUUGAAGAACAUACAGAAGGGAAGCCAGAGGGCAGGAAGAGACCCCAAACCAAGCUGCUGUUCUGCCCUUGUUGUCCCACCAGACUGGGAGCUCCUUAAGGGCCAGGGCUGUGCCUUCUUUAUCUUUGUAUUCCACUGCCUAACACAUAGUAAUGCUCAAUUAUCAUCUAAUUUUUUUUUAGCGUUACCUUGAAAAUAGUAUUUCAAGCACCAAAUUAGAUCAACUUCUCUGCAUUGUGCUGUAGGAUCUUGGCCAGUUCCUGAACCUUGGCUGUGACAUUCAUUUAAUUUUAAUCAACACUGGAAGUGACCUAACCUAUGCUGAGAGACCUAAUCAACCCUGCCCACAUUUAGACAGUGGCACUCUUAGACCAGUGCGGAACUUCCAUUACAUUUUUAAAGAUCUCCUGAGGAAGAGGAGACUCCCUCAGUAAGCCAUUCCAACAGUUAACUACUCUUAUUUGCCUUAUGUUUAGGCAGCUAAAUGUUGAGAAGCAAUUUCUCCACACAUCCCCAUAGAGUUGUACAGUUUCUGUUCACAGUGGGAGAAAUAUGCUUCGUAUUACUCUUUCUCUGCCAAAUUACAGUAGAGCCCCACUGGAAUGACACAGCUUGUUAUGAUAGAGAUCUGGAGAUACGAUACCCUGGGUAGCUGCACAGACCAGGCUGCCAGGUUGAGAAGCAAACCAAUCAAAGGGAUAUUGCUCCUACCUCAGCUCCCCAAAACCUCAGAUUGGAUUGCCUUAAGUGACCUCCCCUCCUUUGGUGGACUACUCGGUCUUGCAGUCAUGUGUAGGUAGAUACUGUUCCUAUGACUUUAGGUCAUAUUUUUACUUCCACAUAAUCACUCCAUAGAACAGCUGCCCAAGAGAAAACAGCCGUCAGACAGACAGACAUUGUGAGGAUACACUCGCAAGGUUUACCUGUGGGCUUGAGUUUCAAUUCUGUUAGUCCUGACUUCUUUUCUCCAAGCUUGUGCCAAGUGCCAUUUGUAGACAGGAGCCAUUCCUCCACAGCACAGUGAUAUUUGCCCCGAUCGCUGUCUUCCACAUUCAGAAUGUGCAGCUGAAAUAAGUCUUGGGAAACCUUCUCAGUAUGAAAUUUUUGUUUUCUCUGUGGGGUGUGAAACUCAUCCCCAGUUUUUAUAACAUUGGUUUGGUCCAUCUCCAGGAUCUUUAGCCAAGAGGCAUUAGUGGAAACAGGAGAAAAAUACCAAAUAAUGGCUAACUGAAGGUUUCCAUUGGACCGGGACAAGAUGCUACAUUCUAUAUCAGUGUUGGAGUUGAUGGAGAGCUCUUGGACUUGACUCCUUGAAUUCACUUUUAGCUUGCUCUCUAAAUUUAAAAAAAUGAAACAGUUACUUUGCUAUGAAAUAGAAAGUUAAGGUAGUAGAGACAUUAGAGGUCAAGUAUGACACUGCAUCCUCCCGCCAUCAUAUGGGUGAACUCCCUCUACAGUAGCCCCACUCACUGCUCAUACAGCUUUUGAACAGCAUCACUAGCUGACAAGGCAGCCCAUUUCAUCUCUGGACAGCUCUGCCCCUCCAGAAUGCUUUCUGAUAUCAAGUUGAACUUUAUCUCUUCAUAACUUCCAUCCACUAGUCCUAGUGCUACCUGUGCUUGGUAGGGGUGGUGUGGCAGAGGGAGUGUCACACAGACAAGCCCAGUAUCUCUCUUCCACAUGAUACUGCUUCGGUAUUUAAGCACAAGCAUCUCUUCUGUCAUAUUUCAUGUAUCAGAUUGGGAGAAAGUGGCCCUAUUAAUGCUGUGUUUGUGUGUUUACUAUGCAGAGUACUUCUGGAUUCACAAUUUCCAAACUCUAGUUGUAUCUGCCUUCAAACGUGGGUAAACAAAAGGAAGUUGUACAUGAGUGAUUAAAACUGUGUGUGUCUUUGCAGUCACUUAACUGUGGGAACAUUGUAUAGAUAUGGAGCCAACUAAUCUUUGACCCCAGCAGCUUUUCUGCUUUGUCAGAAAGAUGAGUGACAAUCCUUGUUCCCAAAUCUUCUUCUAGCAUCUUGCUGACAUCACCCACUCUACUUUUUUAACUGCUUAUUGAUGUUGCCCAUAGGUCCCUUUACUCUUCCUUCAACAAAUAUUUAUGAAGCACACACUAUAUUAUGUGCCAGACAAUUCCAGGCCCUGUGGAUAUCUUCCCUCAGUGGCUCACACUCUAGAGGGAGACAAGUGCAGGGACAGAGGCUUAGAGAUGGUGCCAAGUGCCAUUUGUAGACAAAGAGCCAUUCUACCACAGCACAGUGAUAUUUGCCCUGAUCACUGUCUUCCACAUUUAGAAUGUGCAGCUGAAAUAACUCUUGAGAAACCUUUCUCAAGUGUGAGAUUUUUGGUUGUUUUGUUUUGUUUGAGAUGGAGUCUUGCUCUGUCGCCCAGGCUGGAGUGCAGUGGCAUGAUCUUGGCUCACUGCAACCUCCACUUCCUGUGCUCAAGCGAUCCUUGUGCCUCAGCCUCCUGAGUAGCUGGGACUACAGGUGCACGCCACCAUGCCUGGCUAAUCUGUGCAUUUUCAGUAGAGACGGGGUUUCACUAUGUUGGCCAGGCUGGUCUCAAACUCCUGACUUCAGGUGAUCUGCCCGCCUUGGCCUCCCAAAGUGUGGGAUUACAGGUGUGAGCCACCACACCUGGCCUCAGUGUAAAAUUUUUGUUCCUCAUGUCCCUCAUGUAAGACAGAGGUAUAUAGAAGUGCCUAUCUGAGCACACAGCAGGGUCUCCUAGCCCAAAUACAGGAGUGAGGGGAGACUUCCUGGAGGAGAUAAUUCUGAGCUGAGUCUUAAGGGUUUAUAGGAAUUAUUCCGAUGGAGAAGAGGUUAAGGAUUGCCACACAAAAGAUGCAACUAGAUCAAAGACUUUGAGAGUGAGAGGGAACAUGGACAAUUGAGGAGCUGCCAGUAAUUCAGUGUGGCUGAAGCUCAAAUUCACGAUGGAAAGUUGAAGGAGAUGAUGCUGGAAAGACACAAAUGUACCAGAUGAUAAAGGACCUUGCAUGUCACACUGUGGGAGUUUAGAUACAAGGUGAACAUAAGAGUUGUGAUGACUCAGGUUUUCAACUUGGGUCACUGGUGAGGAGUGGGGACAUAAGGGGCAAUGCAGAAGAAAGAGCUUUGGAUGAUAAUGGUGGGUUUAUGUUUUGACAUAAUGAGUGCAGGCAUGUCUUGGAGACAGCUGGAUAUACGAGUCUGGAGAUCAGAAGAGAAAUUGGUCAAGAUAAUGAAUGUGGGAGUUGUGAACAUACAGCUUGUAUCCAUGGGUAGGGACGAGUCCACUGCAGGAGAGCGUAUAGAAUGAAAAGAGAACAAAGCUAAGAAUAGAAUCCAGAGAAACUGUUUUCUUUAAAGAAUAAAUCAGUGGAGGAGAAAAUGAAAAUCUUGUGUCAUGGUGCCAAGGAAAAAAGAAGUUUCAAGAAGACAGAUUGGGGCAGCAAUUGCAAAUACCACAGAGAGGACAAAUUAAUUAAGCAUGAAUUCAUGAACAAGGGGAUCAUUACUAUUACCAAAAAUGUUGCACAGCAGCAGAGAGAAUAAUGACAGUGACCACGUUUGAGCGUCAUCUUGGUGUGUCAGGUACUCGGCAUGUUAUAUAUGUCACCAUAUUUAAAUUGCACAUUAACAAUUUACAGAUCAGGUAACUAAGGCUUCAGCAGAUUAAGUGUCUCAUCCAAAGCUGUUCUGCUAUCCAGUGACUGUCAGAUCUAAAUGACUCCAACGUCUCUCCAUCACUCUUCCUAAGAGAAUGCAAACUAUAAGAGAGAAGAUACAUGACACAGCAGAACUUUGCCUAGUGGCAUCAUGGACUAGGAGUUGUGAACGAAAUAAAGACUGCGACACUUUCGUCUUCUUUUGGAACCGGGAUAGGAAAUUCCCCCAUUCAAUAGUGCCAUUGUGGGUGAUUCGAAUAAGCUGGUGGAAGAUGUGAGAGCUAGCUGGCUGGAACUGCCACGUCACAGUGAGUGGCACCUUGAGGUCAGAGUAACCGGCCCUCACGACACAGGACAGGUCAAAGGUGUUGGUUAACAUCACUUGCGGCUGACGGCUCAUCAGACUAACUUGUAAACUUGACUCUAGACAGAAAAAUGAAACAGAAUUUCUAAUAUAUUUACCAGAUUAAAAUAUAGCACUUUCAAGUUUUUCUAGUUGCCACCUCUUUGACUAGGACCAUGCAUUUGUACAUUUGGAGUUUCCUAUUUUAUAGAGUAGAAAUUGAUUCCCAGUACAGUCUGUCCUGAACUGUGACCUCAAUUUUGCAAAGUUGAUCCUUUUCUAAGACUGUUCCCAGCAGCCACAACAAAUAGGCAGUGUUUCUCCAAUCUGCUACUUAGACAGCUGCUGCUGAGUGGGUGGAGCACUCCCCACCCUAGUCGUCUGGCCUCCUU
Molecule: long non-coding RNA, 11438 nt
Filed under: Homo sapiens (human)
Lineage: Eukaryota; Metazoa; Chordata; Mammalia; Primates; Hominidae
Description: HSALNT0294911
Source: RNAcentral